AGAGUUUGAUCAUGGCUCAGGACGAACGCUGGCGGCGUGCCUAAUACAUGCAAGUCGAACGCACAGACAACGGAACUUGUUCCGUUAGACGUGAGUGGCGCACGGGUGAGUAACACGUGGGAAACCUACCCUUCAGCGGGGGAUAACCGUCGGAAACGAUGGCUAAUACCGCAUAGGUCUUUGAACCACCUGGUUUAAAGAGGAAAGACGGCUUCGGCUGUCACUGAAGGAUGGUCCUGCGGUGCAUUAGCUAGUUGGUAAGGUAACGGCUUACCAAGGCGAUGAUGCAUAGCCGACCUGAGAGGGUGAUCGGCCACAUUGGGACUGAGACACGGCCCAAACUCCUACGGGAGGCAGCAGUAGGGAAUCUUCCGCAAUGGACGCAAGUCUGACGGAGCAACGCCGCGUGUGUGAAGAAGGUCUUCGGAUCGUAAAGCACUGUUAUUAGAGAAGAACAACCGGUAGAGUAACUGUUACCGGCUUGACGGUAUCUAACCAGAAAGCCACGGCUAACUACGUGCCAGCAGCCGCGGUAAUACGUAGGUGGCAAGCGUUGUCCGGAUUUAUUGGGCGUAAAGGGAGCGCAGGUGGUGAUUUAAGUCUGAUGUGAAAGCCCACGGCUCAACCGUGGAAGGUCAUUGGAAACUGGAUCACUUGAGUGCAGAAGAGGAAAGUGGAAUUCCAUGUGUAGCGGUGAAAUGCGUAGAUAUAUGGAGGAACACCAGUGGCGAAGGCGACUUUCUGGUCUGUAACUGACACUGAGGCUCGAAAGCGUGGGGAGCAAACAGGAUUAGAUACCCUGGUAGUCCACGCCGUAAACGAUGAGUGCUAAGUGUUGGAGGGUUUCCACCCUUCAGUGCUGGAGUUAACGCAAUAAGCACUCCGCCUGGGG
Molecule: ribosomal RNA, 892 nt
Filed under: uncultured bacterium
Lineage: Bacteria
Description: bacterial SSU rRNA
Rfam family: Bacterial small subunit ribosomal RNA
Source: RNAcentral